Long non-coding RNA from Amphimedon queenslandica, 1047 nucleotides. RefSeq lists it as uncharacterized. The record is from RefSeq and is a predicted model, not a curated record. The transcript has 8 exons. NCBI's taxonomy places the organism in Eukaryota, Metazoa, Porifera, Demospongiae, Haplosclerida, Niphatidae.
ACUUGAUCCAGUAUAGAUGCUUACCAUGCCUGUACUGUGGCUAACUCCAUGAUUGUAUCAGGACUGAUUGCCCAAACUUAAUGGUCCAUGCCUGAUAUCAGGCAUGAUCAACCAUGGCUGUGUACAUGUGUAUUCUCCUUAUUUUUGUCAUACAUGUAGCCUUAUCUUUGUCUUAUGAUGAUGGAAUACUUUCUCACACUCCAGUUGACUUAUGUCAGGCACAAGUCACUAUGUGAUUUGAGGUACAUAUGGAAACUUCUCCGAUUAAAGGUGACCAUGUGACCACCAGUGACCUGACUGACCUUUGGCGACCCAUACCAUCAUAUUGUUUCCCAUAGUAAAGCUAGUGUCUGAUCCUGAAGCAUCAGUUUAUGACACUGUUGGUGAACAGAUCAACAGAUAUGAAUGGCGUGCCAGUUAUGAUCCAUCUCAAACUGGUUAUGUUGAUAAACCUCAAGGUGAUGAAGACUCUUUGAAAGGUACAUAUCAGAAGGUUACCUCUGAUGACCAGCAGGUAUAAAGGCUACCUCUGACGACCCCCCCCCAUGUUGUACAUUACUAUAAUAACAAAAUGUGCACUUGAUUAGAUUAAGAUUUUGCUACUGUACCUUCAGGAAAUUGUGCAGCUGUUUUUCUUACCUUGUAUUUUAUUCAUUCAUCUCUAUAUUGUGUUAGCCUUUCAUCUAGAGGUAGUUAACUUAUACCAGGCACAUACAGCUCACUGAUUGAUGAAAUAAAAUCAUCAGAAGUCUUUUUGGCUGUGCCCGCUGUAUUGUGUUGGCUGAACUGCCAAUGCUCUGAUGCCAUGUAUUUCUAUUUCUCCCACUGCUUCUCUUGUCACCCAUCCAGAUUCUCCAUGCAUAUGUCAUGACAUUAAAGGUCUCGGAAUGGGCACAACUGUAACAGCAUGUUCUUGGUGGUCUUGCCAGAUUCUUGGCUCAGAACUGAAUUCUAGACUUAUUAUUACUGACUGAUGUGCUAUUAAUGUUUGUGUACAUUUCAUUGUAAUACGUGUAUUAAUUAACAAUAACUUUUAAUUAACAAUAA